This 253-nucleotide ribosomal RNA is filed under the name uncultured bacterium. RNAcentral describes it as "partial 16S ribosomal RNA". It matches the Rfam family "Bacterial small subunit ribosomal RNA", at positions 524 to 776 of the family's 1533-position model. The record is from RNAcentral.
UACGUAGGUGGCAAGCGUUGUCCGGAAUUAUUGGGCGUAAAGCGCGCGCAGGCGGUUCUUUAAGUUUGAUGUGAAAGCCCACGGCUCAACCGUGGAGGGUCAUUGGAAACUGGAGAACUUGAGUACAGAAGAGGAAAGCGGAAUUCCACGUGUAGCGGUGAAAUGCGUAGAGAUGUGGAGGAACACCAGUGGCGAAGGCGGCUUGCUGGUCUGUAACUGACGCUGAGGCGCGAAAGCGUGGGGAGCGAACAGG